CCAGACUCCUACGGGAGGCAGCAGUGGGGAAUAUUGCACAAUGGGGGAAACCCUGAUGCAGCGACGCCGCGUGAGUGAAGAAGUAUUUCGGUAUGUAAAGCUCUAUCAGCAGGGAAGAAAAUGACGGUACCUGACUAAGAAGCCCCGGCUAACUACGUGCCAGCAGCCGCGGUAAUACGUAGGGGGCAAGCGUUAUCCGGAUUUACUGGGUGUAAAGGGAGCGUAGACGGCAUGGCAAGUCAGAUGUGAAAGCCCGGGGCUCAACCCCGGGACUGCAUUUGAAACUGUCAGGCUGGAGUGCAGGAGAGGUAAGUGGAAUUCCUAGUGUAGCGGUGAAAUGCGUAGAUAUUAGGAGGAACACCAGUGGCGAAGGCGGCCUGCUGGACGACAACUGACGGUGAGGCGCGAAAGCGUGGGGAGCAAACAGGAUUAGAUACCCUUGUAG
This 445-nucleotide ribosomal RNA is filed under the name uncultured bacterium. Its description in RNAcentral is "bacterial SSU rRNA". It matches the Rfam family "Bacterial small subunit ribosomal RNA", at positions 331 to 793 of the family's 1533-position model. The record is from RNAcentral.